AAUAUUGGACAAUGGGGGCAACCCUGAUCCAGCCAUGCCGCGUGUGUGAAGAAGGUCUUCGGAUUGUAAAGCACUUUAAGUUGGGAGGAAGGGCUUUAGGUUAAUACCCUGAAGUUUUGAUGUUAUCAACAGAAUAAGCACCGGCUAACUCUCUUCUAGCAGCCGCGGUAAUACAGAGGGUGCAAGUGCUAAUCGGAAUUACUGGGCGUAAAGCGCGAGUAGGGAGUUCAGUAAGAUGGGUGUGAAAACCCCGGGCUUAACCUGGGAACUGCUUUCAUAACUGCUGAGCUAGAGUACGGUAGAGGGUAGUGGAAUUUCCUGUGUAGCGGUGAAAUGCGUAGAUAUAGGAAGGAACACCAGUGGCGAAGGCGACUACCUGGACUGAUACUGACACUGAGGUGCGAAAGCGUGGGGAGCAAACA
This 422-nucleotide ribosomal RNA is filed under the name uncultured bacterium. RNAcentral's name for it is "partial 16S ribosomal RNA". It matches the Rfam family "Bacterial small subunit ribosomal RNA", at positions 360 to 774 of the family's 1533-position model. The record is from RNAcentral.